ACACAUGCAAGUCGAGCGGUAACAGAAAGUAGCUUGCUACUUUGCUGACGAGCGGCGGACGGGUGAGUAAUGCUUGGGAACAUGCCUUGAGGUGGGGGACAACAGUUGGAAACGACUGCUAAUACCGCAUAACGUCUACGGACCAAAGGGGGCUUCGGCUCUCGCCUUUAGAUUGGCCCAAGUGGGAUUAGCUAGUUGGUGAGGUAAUGGCUCACCAAGGCGACGAUCCCUAGCUGGUUUGAGAGGAUGAUCAGCCACACUGGGACUGAGACACGGCCCAGACUCCUACGGGAGGCAGCAGUGGGGAAUAUUGCACAAUGGGCGCAAGCCUGAUGCAGCCAUGCCGCGUGUGUGAAGAAGGCCUUCGGGUUGUAAAGCACUUUCAGUCAGGAGGAAAGGUUAGUAGUUAAUACCUGCUAGCUGUGACGUUACUGACAGAAGAAGCACCGGCUAACUCCGUGCCAGCAGCCGCGGUAAUACGGAGGGUGCGAGCGUUAAUCGGAAUUACUGGGCGUAAAGCGUACGCAGGCGGUUUGUUAAGCGAGAUGUGAAAGCCCCGGGCUCAACCUGGGAACUGCAUUUCGAACUGGCAAACUAGAGUGUGAUAGAGGGUGGUAGAAUUUCAGGUGUAGCGGUGAAAUGCGUAGAGAUCUGAAGGAAUACCGAUGGCGAAGGCAGCCACCUGGGUCAACACUGACGCUCAUGUACGAAAGCGUGGGGAGCAAACGGGAUUAGAUACCCCGGUAGUCCACGCCGUAAACGAUGUCUACUAGAAGCUCGGGUCCUCGGACUUGUUUUUCAAAGCUAACGCAUUAAGUAGAC
This 822-nucleotide ribosomal RNA is filed under the name uncultured Pseudoalteromonas sp. Its description in RNAcentral is "bacterial SSU rRNA". It matches the Rfam family "Bacterial small subunit ribosomal RNA", at positions 51 to 869 of the family's 1533-position model. Lineage: Bacteria; Pseudomonadati; Pseudomonadota; Gammaproteobacteria; Alteromonadales; Pseudoalteromonadaceae. The record is from RNAcentral.